This 266-nucleotide ribosomal RNA is filed under the name uncultured bacterium. RNAcentral's name for it is "partial 16S ribosomal RNA". It matches the Rfam family "Bacterial small subunit ribosomal RNA", at positions 793 to 1055 of the family's 1533-position model. The record is from RNAcentral.
GUCCACGCCGUAAACGAUGGGUACUAGGUGUCGCGGGUGUUGACCCCCGCGGUGCCGACGCUAACGCAUUAAGUACCCCGCCUGGGAAGUACGGCCGCAAGGCUAAAACUCAAAGGAAUUGACGGGGGCCCGCACAAGCGGUGGAGCAUGUGGUUUAAUUCGACGCAACGCGCAGAACCUUACCCAGUCUUGACAUCCUGGGAAUCCUCUAGAGAUAGAGGGGUGCCCUUCGGGGAGCCCAGAGACAGGUGCUGCAUGGCUGUCGU